Molecule: ribosomal RNA, 283 nt
Filed under: uncultured Syntrophaceae bacterium
Lineage: Bacteria; Pseudomonadati; Thermodesulfobacteriota; Syntrophia; Syntrophales; Syntrophaceae
Description: partial 16S ribosomal RNA
Rfam family: Bacterial small subunit ribosomal RNA
Source: RNAcentral
CGCAACCCUUGUCUUUAAUUGCCAUCAUUUAGUUGGGCACUUUAAAGAGACUGCCGGUGUUAAGCCGGAGGAAGUGGGGAUGACGUCAAGUCCUCAUGGCCUUUAUGCCCAGGGCUACACACGUGCUACAAUGGGCGGUACAAAGAGAAGCAACCUCGCGAGGGUGAGCAAAUACUCAAAAGCCGUUCUCAGUUCGGAUUGAAGUCUGCAACUCGACUUCAUGAAGUCGGAAUCGCUAGUAAUCGCGGAUCAGCAUGCCGCGGUGAAUACGUUCCCGGGCCUU